CUUAGCGCUACGCUCGCUGUGUCCUCGUGCUGUAGAGUGAAAUUAUUGCAGAUUCUCGGCUUGAUCUAAGUUUGACUACGGAAAGGAAAGUUUCGACCGAUGAGGCGCUGUAGACAAAGCGGCUACCUAUAGACUGGGACAGGCUUUAUUAAAGCAAAACCUCCCACUGGUUCCAAUGUGUGCGAGUUUUUCUCGUUAUGCGAAGUAAUUUACCUGAAAAAAAAAAGUAUAUUAUAUACCACAUCCAGUUUUACUUGCAGUAGAUAGAAUCUCUGUACAGUCUGGGGUGAAGCGGCGGGUGUAGUUGCUUUUAGUACCCAGCCCGCGCGAACACAGACAGACAGAAAGAACACGAUCUGCAACUGAU
Long non-coding RNA from Achroia grisella, 367 nucleotides. RefSeq lists it as uncharacterized. The record is from RefSeq and is a predicted model, not a curated record. The transcript has 3 exons. NCBI's taxonomy places the organism in Eukaryota, Metazoa, Arthropoda, Insecta, Lepidoptera, Pyralidae.